GUGCGAGACCGAUAGCGAACAAGUACCGUGAGGGAAAGAUGAAAAGAACUUUGAAAAGAGAGUUAAAGAGUACCUGAAACUGCUGAAAGGGAAGCGAAUCGUAUCCAGUGUCUAUAAUCUGCGGCAUAUUUCAUUGGCGGCAGUGUGCGUGCUUUUGCGUCGGAAGCGGCUUUUGUUGCUCUGUGCUUUUGCUGUGCGUGCUGUUGCUGGUGCCCUGUGUUGCGGUGGGACGUCAGAGUCAGUUCGUAUGCUGCGGGAAAUGGCCGCCGAGGAGGUAGGUCAGGACUUCGGUCUUGGCUGUUAUAUCUUGGUGGUUUGUUGUCGUGGUUGGGACUGAGGUGCCUACAAUGUGCUUUUGAGUGUGCCGGGUUCUCAUUUGGUGGACUGUUUGGAUAGCUCGCUAUGCUUGUGGUUUUUUCAUCGAGUGAUUGAGUCUGGUGGUAACUUGUUGCUGUUCGGGACUUUGA
This 467-nucleotide ribosomal RNA is filed under the name uncultured rhizosphere oomycete. Its description in RNAcentral is "eukaryotic LSU rRNA". It matches the Rfam family "Eukaryotic large subunit ribosomal RNA", at positions 326 to 629 of the family's 3401-position model. Lineage: Eukaryota; Oomycota. The record is from RNAcentral.